AGCAGUAGCCGCGGUAAUACGAAGGGGGCUAGCGUUGUUCGGAUUUACUGGGCGUAAAGCGCACGUAGGCGGAUCGAUCAGUCAGGGGUGAAAUCCCAGAGCUCAACUCUGGAACUGCCUUUGAUACUGUCGAUCUGGAGUAUGGAAGAGGUGAGUGGAAUUCCGAGUGUAGAGGUGAAAUUCGUAGAUAUUCGGAGGAACACCAGUGGCGAAGGCGGCUCACUGGUCCAUUACUGACGCUGAGGUGCGAAAGCGUGGGGAGCAAACAGGAUUAGAUACCCCUGUAGUCCCUGUCUCUUAUAC
Molecule: ribosomal RNA, 303 nt
Filed under: uncultured bacterium
Lineage: Bacteria
Description: partial 16S ribosomal RNA
Rfam family: Bacterial small subunit ribosomal RNA
Source: RNAcentral